GAGUUGCGCUCGGCCACUUCCUUCGUGUGUGGACAAACUACAUGACGGGAUCUCCAGCUUUUUAUGGACAUUUUUUUUCUAACGGAGGGAAGGGGCCGAAAGACAAGAGGAGCGUUGUGGAUUGAUUUAUAACUUCAAAGAAAAAAAAAUCGGUGAUUAGCGGAGAAGAGGAGGAGGAAGGAGGAAGGAUAUCGCUUGUAACGGCGGAGUAACACGCACAGCAUCGUCGUGAUCUGCCCGCUCAUAAUCAUCAUAUUAAUAAUAAUAACAAGGUCAAUGUGACCUUGGUGUGGAUUGAGUCUCCCUGUUCGACGUGAACAAAGAAAGCUAACAGACGCACUGGGGAGGAGAAGAAAAACAACAGGUUGCCAGGUUGUCCUUUUCUGAUCCCCUGCUUGAUUGAGCGCUCCUUCCAUCCACCGCGCGACACCUCCACCGAAUGGGAGUUUGCAUCGGAGCCAUGGGCGGGGUGGAGGUCCUGCUCCUGGUCUUCCUGUUCGGAUCGGAAACUUCACUGGCUCUCAACUGGAACCCGGUGCCACGCAAGACCGUGCGAU
Long non-coding RNA from Entelurus aequoreus (snake pipefish), 557 nucleotides. RefSeq lists it as uncharacterized. Lineage: Eukaryota; Metazoa; Chordata; Actinopteri; Syngnathiformes; Syngnathidae. The record is from RefSeq and is a predicted model, not a curated record. The transcript has 3 exons.